UACAGAGGGUGCGAGCGUUGUCCGGAAUCACUGGGCGUAAAGGGCGCGUAGGUGGUGACCUAAGCGUGCGGUGAAAGCCCGAGGCUCAACCUCGGGUCGGCCGUGCGAACUGGGUCACUGGAGCAGAAUAGAGGCAGGUGGAAUUCCGGGUGUAGCGGUGGAAUGCGUAGAGAUCCGGAAGAACACCGGUGGCGAAGGCGGCCUGCUGGGCAGUUGCUGACACUGAGGCGCGACAGCGUGGGGAGCAAACAGG
RNAcentral lists this ribosomal RNA (253 nucleotides) under uncultured bacterium. RNAcentral describes it as "partial 16S ribosomal RNA". It matches the Rfam family "Bacterial small subunit ribosomal RNA", at positions 524 to 776 of the family's 1533-position model. The record is from RNAcentral.